RNAcentral lists this ribosomal RNA (493 nucleotides) under uncultured bacterium. RNAcentral describes it as "bacterial SSU rRNA". It matches the Rfam family "Bacterial small subunit ribosomal RNA", at positions 31 to 518 of the family's 1533-position model. The record is from RNAcentral.
GAACGCUGGCGGCGUGUCUAACACAUGCAAGUCGAACGAAGCAUAGAAGACGGAGAUUCGUCAAAGCCUUUAUGACUUAGUGGCGGACGGGUGAGUAAUGUAUGAGCAACCUGCCUUUCAGAGGGGGACAACAGUUGGAAACGACUGCUAAUACCGCGUAAUGUAAUGAAGGGGCAUCCCUUUAUUACCAAAGGAGCAAUCCGCUGAAAGAUGGGCUCAUAUCUGAUUAGCUUGUUGGCGGGGUAACGGCCCACCAAGGCGACGAUCAGUAGCCGGACUGAGAGGUUGAACGGCCACAUUGGGACUGAGAUACGGCCCAGACUCCUACGGGAGGCAGCAGGUGGGGAAUAUUGGGCAAUGGGCGAAAAACGCCUGACCCAGCAACGCCGCGUGAAGGAAGAAGGUCUUCGGAUUGUAAACUUCUUUUAUGAGGGACGAAGGACGUGACGGUACCUCAUGAAUAAGCCACGGCUAACUACGUGCCAGCCGCCGC